AUGAACGCUAGCGGCAGGCUUAACACAUGCAAGUCGAGGGGCAGCAUGAGACGGAGAUUCGUCAAAGUCUUGAUGGCGACCGGCGCACGGGUGCGUAACAGGUGUGCAAUCUGUCCAUAAUCGGGGAAUAGCCCAGCGAAAGUUGGAUUAAUGCUCCAUGUGAGUUUUAGAGGCAUCUCUUUAAUUUGAAACGUAAGGAUUAUGGGUGAGCACGCUUCUGAUUAGGUAGUUGGUGAGGUAACGGCUCACCAAGCCGACGAUCAGUAGGGGUUCUGAGAGGAAGGUCCCCCACAUUGGAACUGAGACACGGUCCAAACUCCUACGGGAGGCAGCAGUGAGGAAUAUUGGUCAAUGGGCGAAAGCCUGAACCAGCCAAGUCGCGUGAAGGAUGAAGGUUCUAUGGAUUGUAAACUUCUUUUGUCUGAGGGUAAAAAAGCGGACGUGUCCGUUCUUGCAAGUAUCAGACGAAUAAGCAUCGGCUAACUCCGUG
RNAcentral lists this ribosomal RNA (490 nucleotides) under uncultured bacterium. RNAcentral's name for it is "bacterial SSU rRNA". It matches the Rfam family "Bacterial small subunit ribosomal RNA", at positions 29 to 507 of the family's 1533-position model. The record is from RNAcentral.